CCUACGGGAGGCAGCAGUGGGGAAUAUUGCACAAUGGGGGAAACCCUGAUGCAGCGACGCCGCGUGAGUGAAGAAGUAUUUCGGUAUGUAAAGCUCUAUCAGCAGGGAAGAAAAUGACGGUACCGGAUUAAGAAGCCCCGGCUAACUACGUGCCAGCAGCCGCGGUAAUACGUAGGGGGCAAGCGUUAUCCGGAUUUACUGGGUGUAAAGGGAGCGUAGACCGCAGCACAAGUCUUGGGUGAAAUGGCGGGGCUUAACCCCGGAACUGCUUUGGAAACUGUGCAGCUAGAGUGCAGGAGAGGUAAGUGGAAUUCCUAGUGGAGCGGGGAAAUGCGUAGAUAUUAGGUGGAACACCAGUGGCGAAGGCGGCUUACUGGACUGUAACUGACGUUGAGGCUCGAAAGCGUGGGGAGCAAACAGGAUUAGAUACCCUAGUAGUC
Molecule: ribosomal RNA, 440 nt
Filed under: uncultured bacterium
Lineage: Bacteria
Description: partial 16S ribosomal RNA
Rfam family: Bacterial small subunit ribosomal RNA
Source: RNAcentral